This 752-nucleotide ribosomal RNA is filed under the name Pseudomonas aeruginosa. RNAcentral describes it as "bacterial SSU rRNA". It matches the Rfam family "Bacterial small subunit ribosomal RNA", at positions 30 to 778 of the family's 1533-position model. The record is from RNAcentral. Lineage: Bacteria; Pseudomonadati; Pseudomonadota; Gammaproteobacteria; Pseudomonadales; Pseudomonadaceae.
UAGANGCUNGCGGCAGGCCUAACACAUGCAAGUCGAGCGGAUGAAGGGAGCUUGCUCCUGGNUUCAGCGGCGGACGGGUGAGUAAUGCCUAGGAAUCUGCCUGGUAGUGGGGGAUAACGUCCGGAAACGGGCGCUAAUACCGCAUACGUCCUGAGGGAGAAAGUGGGGGAUCUUCGGACCUCACGCUAUCAGAUGAGCCUAGGUCGGAUUAGCUAGUUGGUGGGGUAAAGGCCUACCAAGGCGACGAUCCGUAACUGGUCUGAGAGGAUGAUCAGUCACACUGGAACUGAGACACGGUCCAGACUCCUACGGGAGGCAGCAGUGGGGAAUAUUGGACAAUGGGCGAAAGCCUGAUCCAGCCAUGCCGCGUGUGUGAAGAAGGUCUUCGGAUUGUAAAGCACUUUAAGUUGGGAGGAAGGGCAGUAAGUUAAUACCUUGCUGUUUUGACGUUACCAACAGAAUAAGCACCGGCUAACUUCGUGCCAGCAGCCGCGGUAAUACGAAGGGUGCAAGCGUUAAUCGGAAUUACUGGGCGUAAAGCGCGCGUAGGUGGUUCAGCAAGUUGGAUGUGAAAUCCCCGGGCUCAACCUGGGAACUGCAUCCAAAACUACUGAGCUAGAGUACGGUAGAGGGUGGUGGAAUUUCCUGUGUAGCGGUGAAAUGCGUAGAUAUAGGAAGGAACACCAGUGGCGAAGGCGACCACCUGGACUGAUACUGACACUGAGGUGCGAAAGCGGGGGGGCAAACCNGAA